Molecule: transfer RNA, 67 nt
Filed under: Marmota monax (woodchuck)
Lineage: Eukaryota; Metazoa; Chordata; Mammalia; Rodentia; Sciuridae
Description: tRNA.Val
Rfam family: tRNA
About the family: Transfer RNA (tRNA) molecules are approximately 80 nucleotides in length.
Source: RNAcentral
GGUUGUGGCUCAGUGAUAGAGCAUUUGCCUCACACACAUGAGGCCCUGGGUUCGAUCCUCAGCACCA